CACCGCCCGUCACACCAUGGGAGUUUGUUGCACCAGAAGCAGGUAGCUUAACCGCAAGGAGGGCGCUUGCCACGGUGUAGCCGAUGACUGGGGUG
This 95-nucleotide ribosomal RNA is filed under the name uncultured bacterium. RNAcentral describes it as "partial 16S ribosomal RNA". It matches the Rfam family "Bacterial small subunit ribosomal RNA", at positions 1388 to 1482 of the family's 1533-position model. The record is from RNAcentral.